UACGGAGGGUGCGAGCGUUAUUCGGAUUCACUGGGCGUAAAGCGCGCGUAGGCGGUUUGGUAAGUCUGAUGUGAAAGCCCACGACUUAAUCGUGGAAGUGCAUUGGAUACUGCCAGACUAGAGUACAGGAGAGGAGGAUGGAAUUCCCGGUGUAGAGGUGAAAUUCGUAGAUAUCGGGAGGAACAACAGUGGCGAAGGCGAUCCUCUGGACUGUCACUGACGCUGAGGUGAGAAAGUGUGGGGAGCAAACAGG
RNAcentral lists this ribosomal RNA (253 nucleotides) under uncultured bacterium. RNAcentral's name for it is "partial 16S ribosomal RNA". It matches the Rfam family "Bacterial small subunit ribosomal RNA", at positions 524 to 776 of the family's 1533-position model. The record is from RNAcentral.